AAACGGGCAAUGAGUGGGGCCAGUAAACCAUGAAUGGUAUCCAGAGAGUGAAACCCAUAGGCUGGAAGGUUUCAUUACCCUCUUCGUGGUUGAACCUACCCCAUGAGCUGUUAGGAAAACCUAAACGCUCAACCGGCGUUAUCGGUGAAGAGGUGGACUCUUUUUCGGCCGUUUGUCGGCAAAAGAGUCAAAAAAGGUGGUACCGCGGAAACAAGACCUUCCGUCCUUUUU
RNAcentral lists this non-coding RNA (231 nucleotides) under Geobacillus sp. RNAcentral describes it as "T-box sequence". It matches the Rfam family "T-box leader". From Rfam's summary of the family: Uncharged tRNA acts as the effector for transcription antitermination of genes in the T-box leader family. The record is from RNAcentral. Lineage: Bacteria; Bacillati; Bacillota; Bacilli; Caryophanales; Anoxybacillaceae.